UCGGGAAUUUUGGGCAAUGGGGGAAACCCUGACCCAGCAACGCCGCGUGAAGGAUGAAGUAUUUCGGUAUGUAAACUUCGAAAGAAUAGGAAGAAUAAAUGACGGUACUAUUUAUAAGGUCCGGCUAACUACGUGCCAGCAGCCGCGGUAAUACGUAGGGACCAAGCGUUGUUCGGAUUUACUGGGCGUAAAGCGCGCGUAGGUGGUUUGUUAAGUUGGAUGUGAAAUCCCCGGGCUCAACCUGGGAACUGCGUUCAAAACUGACUGACUAGAGUAUGGUAGAGGGUGGUGGAAUUUCCUGUGUAGCGGUGAAAUGCGUAGAUAUAGGAAGGAACACCAGUGGCGAAGGCGACCACCUGGACUGAUACUGACACUGAGGUGCGAAAGCGUGGGGAGCAAACAGGAUUAGAUACCCAAGUAGUCCCUGAGCGGGCUGGCAAGGCGCAU
Molecule: ribosomal RNA, 447 nt
Filed under: uncultured bacterium
Lineage: Bacteria
Description: bacterial SSU rRNA
Rfam family: Bacterial small subunit ribosomal RNA
Source: RNAcentral